GGGCCCGUAGCUCAGUUGGUUAGAGCAGGUGACUCAUAAUCACUUGGUCGUAGGUUCGAGUCCUACCGGGCCCACCA
RNAcentral lists this transfer RNA (77 nucleotides) under Pseudomonadota bacterium. RNAcentral describes it as "tRNA-Ile". It matches the Rfam family "tRNA". From Rfam's summary of the family: Transfer RNA (tRNA) molecules are approximately 80 nucleotides in length. Their secondary structure includes four short double-helical elements and three loops (D, anti-codon, and T loops). Further hydrogen bonds mediate the characteristic L-shaped molecular structure. tRNAs have two regions of fundamental functional importance: the anti-codon, which is responsible for specific mRNA codon recognition, and the 3' end, to which the tRNAs corresponding amino acid is attached (by aminoacyl-tRNA synthetases). tRNAs cope with the degeneracy of the genetic code in two manners: having more than one tRNA (with a specific anti-codon) for a particular amino acid; and 'wobble' base-pairing, i.e. permitting non-standard base-pairing at the 3rd anti-codon position. Lineage: Bacteria; Pseudomonadati; Pseudomonadota. The record is from RNAcentral. RNAcentral also lists the same sequence under 1 other name.